UGUAAGGCCGGGGAAAGGGGUGUGGUAAUACGAGUGGGGCUGGGGGUGUUCGGAAUUACGUGGCGUAAAGCGCGCGUAGGCGGUUCUUUAAGUCAGAGGUGAAAGCCCGGUGCUCAACAUCGGAAUAGCCUUUGAGACUGGGGGACUAGAAUCCGGGAGAGGUGAGUGGAAUUCCGAGUGUAGAGGUGAAAUUCGUAGAUAUUCGGAAGAACACCAGUGGCGAAGGCGGCUCACUGGACCGGCAUUGACGCUGAGGUGCGAAAGCGUGGGGAGCAAACAGGAUUAGAUACCCUUGUAGUC
Molecule: ribosomal RNA, 300 nt
Filed under: uncultured Bacillus sp.
Lineage: Bacteria; Bacillati; Bacillota; Bacilli; Caryophanales; Bacillaceae
Description: bacterial SSU rRNA
Rfam family: Bacterial small subunit ribosomal RNA
Source: RNAcentral